CGAACGCUGGCGGCAGGCUUAACACAUGCAAGUCGAGCGCCCCGCAAGGGGAGCGGCAGACGGGUGAGUAACGCGCGGGAACGUACCUUUUGCUACGGAAUAACACAGGGAAACUUGUGCUAAUACCGUAUGUGCCCUUCGGGGGAAAGAUUUAUCGGCAAAGGAUCGGCCCGCGUUGGAUUAGCUAGUUGGUGAGGUAAAGGCUCACCAAGGCGACGAUCCAUAGCUGGUCUGAGAGGAUGAUCAGCCACACUGGGACUGAGACACGGCCCAGACUCCUACGGGAGGCAGCAGUGGGGAAUAUUGGACAAUGGGCGCAAGCCUGAUCCAGCCAUGCCGCGUGAGUGAUGAAGGCCCUAGGGUUGUAAAGCUCUUUCACCGGUGAAGAUAAUGACCGUAACCGGAGA
RNAcentral lists this ribosomal RNA (407 nucleotides) under Brucella anthropi. RNAcentral describes it as "bacterial SSU rRNA". It matches the Rfam family "Bacterial small subunit ribosomal RNA", at positions 30 to 485 of the family's 1533-position model. Lineage: Bacteria; Pseudomonadati; Pseudomonadota; Alphaproteobacteria; Hyphomicrobiales; Brucellaceae. The record is from RNAcentral.